Molecule: ribosomal RNA, 305 nt
Filed under: uncultured bacterium
Lineage: Bacteria
Description: bacterial SSU rRNA
Rfam family: Bacterial small subunit ribosomal RNA
Source: RNAcentral
CCUACGGGGGGCAGCAGUGAGGAAUAUUGGUCAAUGGGCGCGGGCCUGAACCAGCCAAGUAGCGUGAAGGAUGACUGCCCUACGGGUUGUAAACUUCUUUUAUAAAGGAAUAAAGUGAGGCACGUGUGCCUUUUUGUAUGUACUUUAUGAAUAAGGAUCGGCUAACUCCGUGCCAGCAGCCGCGGUAAUACGGAGGAUCCGAGCGUUAUCCGGAUUUAUUGGGUUUAAAGGGUGCGUAGGCGGACUGGAAAGUCAGCGGUAAAAUCGAGAGGCUCAACCUCUUUCCGCCGUUGAAACUGUCGGUC